RNAcentral lists this RNase P RNA (310 nucleotides) under Tenacibaculum sp. MAR_2009_124. RNAcentral describes it as "Bacterial RNase P class A". It matches the Rfam family "Bacterial RNase P class A". From Rfam's summary of the family: Ribonuclease P (RNase P) is a ubiquitous endoribonuclease, found in archaea, bacteria and eukarya as well as chloroplasts and mitochondria. Its best characterised activity is the generation of mature 5'-ends of tRNAs by cleaving the 5'-leader elements of precursor-tRNAs. Cellular RNase Ps are ribonucleoproteins. The record is from Rfam by way of RNAcentral. Lineage: Bacteria; Pseudomonadati; Bacteroidota; Flavobacteriia; Flavobacteriales; Flavobacteriaceae.
UAAGCAGCUCUAUCUUAUCGACUUAUGCUUUUAUAAGUAGGAAAGUCCGGACACCAUAGAGCAAACAUAGCGGAUAACAUCCGUCCAGUGUAAACUGAGGACAAGUGCAACAGAAAGAAUGUACAGGUAAUGCUGUAGUGAAACCAGGUAAACUCUAUGUGGUGCAAUGUCACGUAUAUUAGAGAUUGAGUGCCGCUCGCACGAUUCUAAGGGGUAGACAGAUUGACUUUAAUAGCAAUAUUAAGGCUAGAUAAAUGAUAAGAACCUUUUUUAAAGGACACAGGAUCCGGCUUAUUGAGCUGCUUUUUAU